UUGACCUCGGAUCAGGUAGGGAUACCCGCUGAACUUAAGCGCGGAGGAAAAGAAACCAACAGGGAUUGCCUCAGUAACGGCGAGUGAAGCGGCAAAAGCUCAAAUUUUAAAGCUGACAUCUUCGGUGUCCGCGUUGUAAUUUUGUGAGGCAUCUCCGGGCAGGGCGCCGGCCUAAGUUCCUUGGAACAGGACGUCACAGAGGGUGAGAAUCCCGUGCUUGGCUGGCUGUCCCCGUCCAUGUGAGGUGUCUUCGACGAGUCGAGUUGUUUGGGAAUGCAGCUCAAAAUGGGUGGUAAAUUUCAUCUAAAGCUAAAUAUUGGUGGGAGACCGAUAGCGCACAAGUAGAGUGAUCGAAAGAUGAAAAGCACUUUGAAAAUAGAGUUAAAAAGUACGUGAAAUUGUUGAAAGGGAAGCGCUUGAGACCAGACUUCGGUAAGGGGUGAUCAGCCGUCCUUCUGGGCGGUGCACUUGCCCCCCUCCGGGCCAGCAUCGGUUGAGGCGGCGGGAUAAAGGUCCCGGGAAUGUGGCUCCUUCACGGGAGUGUUAUAGCCCGGGUGAAUGCCGCCAGCUUCGACCGAGGACCGCACCCGCAAGGGUUAGGAUGCUUGGCAUAAUGGUCUUCAGCG
RNAcentral lists this ribosomal RNA (626 nucleotides) under Morchella norvegiensis. RNAcentral's name for it is "partial 28S ribosomal RNA". It matches the Rfam family "Eukaryotic large subunit ribosomal RNA", at positions 1 to 646 of the family's 3401-position model. Lineage: Eukaryota; Fungi; Ascomycota; Pezizomycetes; Pezizales; Morchellaceae. The record is from RNAcentral.